This 64-nucleotide transfer RNA is filed under the name Leptorhynchoides thecatus. Its description in RNAcentral is "tRNA-Arg". The record is from RNAcentral. Lineage: Eukaryota; Metazoa; Acanthocephala; Palaeacanthocephala; Echinorhynchida; Rhadinorhynchidae.
UAAUAGUUGUCGAAAGGAUCGUUUAUAAUUUCGAAUUAUAAGUUAAUGUUAACAUUACUAUUAA